Molecule: long non-coding RNA, 686 nt
Filed under: Arabidopsis lyrata
Lineage: Eukaryota; Viridiplantae; Streptophyta; Magnoliopsida; Brassicales; Brassicaceae
Description: long non-coding RNA (ALYR_LNC000694)
Source: RNAcentral
CUGCCAAACGCUUUGCCAUGCCUGAGAAGGAGGCUGAGCAUAAACACCGCUAGGAUCCAUCGCCGGUCUUCCGAUCAUCAUCCCUCCAGGAACCGCCGGUUGUCCCAUCGGUGGAUAAUAAUAAGGAACACCGCUCGCGGCUGGAGCAACCAUACCUCCUCCACCAAGAGCCGCCGCCGCUGCAUCUUCCUCUUCCUUGAUCUCUUCCCUAGGAACAAUAUCAACAAGGAAAUCGAAGAUAUCGGUUCUAGUAAUCGCAGCAGCGAUAUCGUUUUUCUGAAGCGUACGACGUUUGUUCUCUUCAGCGUGAAGCCAAGAUCUAAUCGUAAGCUCGAGAAUGAAAAGCUCACAAGCUUUGGCGAAGAGAAUCGGUGCUUCGGCGGAGAUCAUACGCACAUCUUCAUCAGCUUUCAUGAUUUUUUUUAUCCGAGCUAGAGGAAGCUGAUGGUUUUUGAAAUCGUUUACCUGUUCGAUCUCUUGUCUCUGGUAUUUCCAGAACAUUUGAAGCUGUUGUUGUUGUUGCUGGUGGAGGUGGUGGUACGUCGCUCCUCCUCCGGUCACUAUUGAUGUAGAUCCAGAUGCAGGAGGAGGGAUUACGGUUGUGACGGCGGAGCCAGGUGGAUAGACGGAGGUUGGUGGUGGUGGUUGGUUGUUGUUGUUGUUAUUGUCCAUUGGAUCUAUGCGUU